GCCGAGGUAGCCCAGCGGCCCAAGGCGCAAGCCUGGAAAGCUUGUGGGGCGAAAGCCCCCCGGGAGUUCAAAUCCCCCCCUCGGCGCCA
RNAcentral lists this transfer RNA (89 nucleotides) under Candidatus Methanoperedens sp. Its description in RNAcentral is "tRNA-Ser". It matches the Rfam family "tRNA". Rfam says of the family: Transfer RNA (tRNA) molecules are approximately 80 nucleotides in length. Their secondary structure includes four short double-helical elements and three loops (D, anti-codon, and T loops). Lineage: Archaea; Methanobacteriati; Methanobacteriota; Methanomicrobia; Methanosarcinales; Candidatus Methanoperedentaceae. The record is from RNAcentral.